Molecule: ribosomal RNA, 253 nt
Filed under: uncultured bacterium
Lineage: Bacteria
Description: partial 16S ribosomal RNA
Rfam family: Bacterial small subunit ribosomal RNA
Source: RNAcentral
UACGGAGGGUGCCAGCGUUGUUCGGAAUCAUUGGGCGUAAAGGGCGCGUAGGCGGCUUUGUAAGUCCGUUGUGAAAUCCCUCGGCUCAACCGAGGAACUGCGACGGAUACUGCUCGGCUUGAGUCCCGGAGAGGGUAGCGGAAUUCCCAGUGUAGCGGUGAAAUGCGUAGAUAUUGGGAGGAACAUCGGUGGCGAAGGCGGCUACCUGGACGGGUACUGACGCUGAUGCGCGAAAGCGUGGGGAGCGAACAGG